Molecule: ribosomal RNA, 468 nt
Filed under: uncultured bacterium
Lineage: Bacteria
Description: partial 16S ribosomal RNA
Rfam family: Bacterial small subunit ribosomal RNA
Source: RNAcentral
GACGAACGCUGGCGGCGUGCUUAACACAUGCAAGUCGAACGGAAAGGCCCUGCUUUUGUGGGGUGCUCGAGUGGCGAACGGGUGAGUAACACGUGAGUAACCUGCCCUUGACUUUGGGAUAACUUCAGGAAACUGGGGCUAAUACCGGAUAGGAGCUCCGGCUGCAUGGUGUGGUUGGGAAAUUUUCGGCGGUUGGGGAUGGACUCGCGGCUUAUCAGCUUGUUGGUGGGGUAGUGGCUUACCAAGGCUUUGACGGGUAGCCGGCCUGAGAGGGUGACCGGCCACAUUGGGACUGAGAUACGGCCCAGACUCCUACGGGAGGCAGCAGUGGGGAAUAUUGCACAAUGGGCGGAAGCCUGAUGCAGCGACGCCGCGUGCGGGAUGACGGCCUUCGGGUUGUAAACCGCUUUCGCCUGUGACGAAGCGUGAGUGACGGUAAUGGGUAAAGAAGCACCGGCUAACUACGUG